Molecule: small nuclear RNA, 183 nt
Organism: Dermacentor andersoni
Lineage: Eukaryota; Metazoa; Arthropoda; Arachnida; Ixodida; Ixodidae
Product: U2 spliceosomal RNA
Source: RefSeq, a predicted model, not a curated record
ACAUUACCCGACGCGGGUCAAAGUGCAGUAUCUGUUCUUAUGAGCUUAAUAUCUGAUACCGGUUGUAUUUGGACCCAAGGUGGUAAACAUAUUUUUGCAAGGUGGCGGAGUGUUUGAAGUCUGCUUCACCUCCGCCGCUGGUCGGCCCGGUAUUGCGCUAUCUCCGGGAUCGGCCCACGGUUU